GAUGAACGCUGGCGGCGUGCUUAACACAUGCAAGUCGAACGGUGAAGCCAAGCUUGCUUGGUGGAUCAGUGGCGAACGGGUGAGUAACACGUGAGCAACCUGCCCUGGACUCUGGGAUAAGCGCUGGAAACGGCGUCUAAUACUGGAUAUGAGCCUCUAUCGCAUGGUGGGGGUUGGAAAGAUUUUUUGGUCUGGGAUGGGCUCGCGGCCUAUCAGCUUGUUGGUGAGGUAAUGGCUCACCAAGGCGUCGACGGGUAGCCGGCCUGAGAGGGUGACCGGCCACACUGGGACUGAGACACGGCCCAGACUCCUACGGGAGGCAGCAGUGGGGAAUAUUGCACAAUGGGCGAAAGCCUGAUGCAGCAACGCCGCGUGAGGGAUGACGGCCUUCGGGUUGUAAACCUCUUUUAGCAGGGAAGAAGCGAAAGUGACGGUACCUGCAGAAAAAGCGCCGGCUAACUACGUGCCAGCAGCCGCAGUAA
This 482-nucleotide ribosomal RNA is filed under the name uncultured bacterium. Its description in RNAcentral is "partial 16S ribosomal RNA". It matches the Rfam family "Bacterial small subunit ribosomal RNA", at positions 28 to 523 of the family's 1533-position model. The record is from RNAcentral.